RNAcentral lists this small RNA (29 nucleotides) under Bombyx mori (domestic silkworm). Its description in RNAcentral is "ovarian small RNA-25297". Lineage: Eukaryota; Metazoa; Arthropoda; Insecta; Lepidoptera; Bombycidae. The record is from RNAcentral.
UCACGGCAGGAAUAGGCGCGGUGGUGGUU